Molecule: long non-coding RNA, 369 nt
Organism: Heterocephalus glaber (naked mole-rat)
Lineage: Eukaryota; Metazoa; Chordata; Mammalia; Rodentia; Bathyergidae
Source: Ensembl
CAUGGAUGAGUAACUGAAGGCAUCACAUAUGUAUCUGAACAUCUAUGUGCUGAAAUAAUCAGAAUCAGAAUUAACAGAAACAAAGAAAAGACAGGGAUAGAUAUGAGGAUGCUCAGGUGUUUGACUGUAGAAAACCUCCAACUGAAACUAUUAUUAAUAAUUCUGCAUCUGUUGGCCUUCAUUCUGUUCCGGGUUCUGAGGAUUUGGAUAGCUACGAAGAGCGUCUCUUGGAGGAGGGCAUUUGAGAGAAUACUGUGAUGGAGAGGGUAAACCAGAGACCGAGUGAAACAGAGAAUCUAGUUUCAAUCAAUGCAGUAAAAUAUAUUUCAAGAAAUAACCUUCUGGAAAAUCAACUCAGUAAUUAAGGUG